UAUGGAAGAUGUCUUUGCACAUCUGCUGCGCAUUUCCUCUCUAUCUGUUUCUGACUCUAGUGCUUCUCCCACUGACUUUUUCAUUUUUGUCUCACAAUCUUUCAAUUGGAACAGUCAUGGUGGAUGCAAUGGCUGCGGAGGUAACCGUUAGUGACCACAGUGUACUUAUUGUCAUAAGAUUAGCCAUACUCGAGAUCACUGUUUUAAGUUGAAUGGCCGGCC
RNAcentral lists this long non-coding RNA (222 nucleotides) under Elaeis guineensis (African oil palm). RNAcentral's name for it is "long non-coding RNA (EGUI_LNC012519)". The record is from RNAcentral. Lineage: Eukaryota; Viridiplantae; Streptophyta; Magnoliopsida; Arecales; Arecaceae.